Molecule: ribosomal RNA, 524 nt
Filed under: uncultured beta proteobacterium
Lineage: Bacteria; Pseudomonadati; Pseudomonadota; Betaproteobacteria
Description: bacterial SSU rRNA
Rfam family: Bacterial small subunit ribosomal RNA
Source: RNAcentral
AGGGUUUGAUCNUGGCUCAGAUUGAACGCUGGCGGAAUGCUUUACACAUGCAAGUCGAACGGCAGCACGGACUUCGGUCUGGUGGCGAGUGGCGAACGGGUGAGUAAUACAUCGGAACGUGCCCAGUCGUGGGGGAUAACGUAGCGAAAGCUACGCUAAUACCGCAUACGAUCUACGGAUGAAAGCGGGGGAUCGCAAGACCUCGCGCGAUUGGAGCGGCCGAUGGCAGAUUAGGUAGUUGGUGGGGUAAAGGCUCACCAAGCCGACGAUCUGUAGCUGGUCUGAGAGGACGACCAGCCACACUGGGACUGAGACACGGCCCAGACUCCUACGGGAGGCAGCAGUGGGGAAUUUUGGACAAUGGGCGCAAGCCUGAUCCAGCCAUUCCGCGUGCAGGAUGAAGGCCCUCGGGUUGUAAACUGCUUUUGUACGGAACGAAAAGGCUCUGGUUAAUACCCGGGGCUCAUGACGGUACCGUAAGAAUAAGCACCGGCUAACUACGUGCCAGCAGCCGCGGUAAUUCA